Molecule: transfer RNA, 76 nt
Filed under: Acetobacteraceae bacterium
Lineage: Bacteria; Pseudomonadati; Pseudomonadota; Alphaproteobacteria; Acetobacterales; Acetobacteraceae
Also listed under: 7 other names
Description: tRNA-His
Rfam family: tRNA
About the family: Transfer RNA (tRNA) molecules are approximately 80 nucleotides in length. Their secondary structure includes four short double-helical elements and three loops (D, anti-codon, and T loops). Further hydrogen bonds mediate the characteristic L-shaped molecular structure. tRNAs have two regions of fundamental functional importance: the anti-codon, which is responsible for specific mRNA codon recognition, and the 3' end, to which the tRNAs corresponding amino acid is attached (by aminoacyl-tRNA synthetases). tRNAs cope with the degeneracy of the genetic code in two manners: having more than one tRNA (with a specific anti-codon) for a particular amino acid; and 'wobble' base-pairing, i.e. permitting non-standard base-pairing at the 3rd anti-codon position.
Source: RNAcentral
GCGGAUGUAGCUCAGUUGGUAGAGCGCCGGUUUGUGGUACCGGUGGUCGCGGGUUCGAGCCCCGUCAUUCGCCCCA